This is a long non-coding RNA of Maylandia zebra (zebra mbuna), 4020 nucleotides long. RefSeq lists it as uncharacterized. The record is from RefSeq and is a predicted model, not a curated record. NCBI's taxonomy places the organism in Eukaryota, Metazoa, Chordata, Actinopteri, Cichliformes, Cichlidae.
CGUGCUGGCACAUGAACACAUGGACUCAGAUGGACCUCAUAUCUUUACCUCCUUAACUCAAAGUAACGUUACGAGUUGUAUGAACACUGCUUGCUUCAUGAUAAGACAGCAGCCGUUCAACAGGGCCUUGUAAGGUUAGUGAAUAGUGUGUUUAUUAAAGGACAAGCUCUGUGGAAUUCCCAGUACCAGUGUUGUUGUGGGCUGAGUGGUCCUCUCAACCACUGAAUACAACCCACGUUACAGUAUUCUUUAUGUUAUUCUCUGAACUGACAUUUUUAAAUAAAACUUUCCUUAUACCAGCCCCUCGUGGCUUACUGCCAGCCACAGACUUGCUGUUAAUUCAAGUGGGAGGGAAAAAGUAGAUGAUGAGGAAAAGUUGGCACAGUACUGUAUAAAACUAGGUGUUGGUGUGAGGGAGAGCAACAUGUUGCGUACUUCUGAGGAGCCUCUAAUGUUUUUUUAGCUGCUGUACAUGUAAUCCUUUCCUGGCUGCAGUGAAAUCCUUACAUAUAGUUCUAAGUUUAAAGUCUGUGAAGUUUCAGGUCUAGCUCAACAUUGGCAGCUGCCUCGGUUUUUGAUUAAUGCUGGACAGAAUGCCAGGACAUAUCGGCAUAUGGUUGUCUUUUGGCAUACUGUGGCCACUUCUGCUGGCUGUCGGCGCAAUUGAAUGUUCAGAAAAAGAAACACUGAUCAACCCGCUUCCCAGGAGGGUGAUACAACCAAGUGACUGUUUAAUGGAGUGUACUGGGAUGACAUACAUCAAAAAAUUGCAGCUUCAGGACAAUCAUAAUAUUCGGCUGUCAGACUCAACUGAAGGAGACCUCGGGGAAUACUGUUGGCCUACUGACCUCAAGUGCAACAUUGGUGAGAGCUUUUUGCAUGCCUACGCGGUAUUGCCUGUGGAUAUAUCUGCUGUGGGACAUGAGCAACUGGAGGUCAAAGCCACUGCUCCAGCUGCCACUACACUACACGCACAUAACAGCCCUACAACAAUCGCAGAGAGCUGCGGCCUUCGUUACGACGUCACACAGCAUUUCAGCACACAGAACGCUGGGACAUCGCUCUGCAUCCAGGUUUCUACCCAGGAAGAUGCUCUGGGGGACACGGUUCUUAAAUGUCCUCCAUAUCUGGUCACCUUCUGGCAAAGAAGUCCAAAUCAGCGCCAACAACAAAGUGCUGGAUAAAAUAUCAGAGGUAGAGGUAUCCAGAUCUUUUAAGUAAAACCACCAAUUAGGAUAUUAAAUAAUAUGAAAGGUCCUGCAUUUUUAGACAUUUUAAUGGAAGUAUUAGAUGCAAAUGUACAGAAUGAAUAAAAAAAAAGAACAGUCCCUUUGUCAGAAAGGAGAUGGAGCUCUCUCUAUAACUUAUGGUGAUUUUCUUUAAAAAUUGGCAUCGUUUGCUUUUCAUUAAUUUAAAGCUGCCACAUACCCACGGGGGUUAGUAUAAAAUUGUCACACAGCUUGUUUUUUUUUUAUCUAGCUAAUUUGAUCAUACCUGGAAGCUGGAAGUGUUACAUUCUUAUUGCUUAUAUAAACGCUUUAGACAUUUUACUUUAUUUGUUCUUUUCAUACUUUGUAUGUUAAAAGCUUACUUUCUAAGGUAUCUAGUAAGUAAACCUUUCAGACUCAUAGAAUAGAAUACAAUGUUCACUAUUUCCUUGUGAGCUAUUUUGAAGCAACAAGUAACAAGUGUGUUUGGAAGUGGUUGUAAUUUAUACUUAAGUGGCCAACAGCAAUAAGGAAAAUCUAUUGUGGGUCUCCAAGGUCCAAUAAUAAAAUAGGGUAUCAGAGAUGCUAGCAAUGGAUGGUUAUGCUUGGAUUGUAAUUCAGGGGUAAGGCUGGGGCAGAAAAGAUUAAUAACUGUAAUUUCUCUAUAUUCUUAAGCAAGUUUAGAUUUAUUCUCUAGUGCUCUCAGUGUGCUUUUAAAUCCCUUACCUGAGUGAACAGAAAAUGACAGUGAGGUCCACAAGUUCACUAAACUUGGAAAGCCAUGUGAGUGAUAGUAACGAUAUUAUUUACUAUUCUGACAAAAUGCAUUUAAUGCACUUGCUAUGAUCAGUGAAGCUGUAUACUACAUUCUUUCAGAAAUAUGUGUUAAGAUGAUGAUCAAGCAUAUGAGCAUGAUGACGUGGGUAUUAUGAACAUUAUAUGGCACAUAUACUUGUAUUAUCCACAAUAAUAUUCUUUUGAUAUAUUUUUGGUUUAUGUGACUUCAGUUGUAAGGGUGUUUCGUGGCACUUUGGCUAAAAGGAGCAGAUGGGGAAUGAUUUUAGAUGUGUCAAGCACUCUGAAACUUUCAGGGCAAACUUGUUGCUCUGCUGACUUACUGAAAGGCAAAAAGCUAUGUAAAUGUUCUCUCUAAAUGAAGAAUGCAAUGAUGUUAAUGUUGUGUUAUAAGGGUUGAUAGUUUAAUAUUAAACCAUUUCAUUUUCCUUUCACUCUCACAUCUUUAUUGAGUUUAACUAUUUAAGAAAGCUAUGAUAAGAUGUGAUUGUAAACAUAUUUUUGCUCUUUUUCCCACUUCCAUUUUGUCUGUUUGUUUAUUUUAUUCAGUUGUUAUGCAUAAAAUCCUCACAAACAAAUAUCUUAUUGCAUUUCAUUACUACACAAGGACAUAAUAUACUGCCACCUCCUGGGUAUGGUGUAAACUAAUGGAAGUACUGGAAUUAAGUCCCGUUUACUGUGCAUCCACUGGAUGGCAGACUUCUUACAGGGUAGUACUGCACCAGAAUUACAAUCAGUAUAAAUAAAUAAUUUACUGCCAUAAAAAAACUACAAGUAGGGUGAAACACCAGUUUCUCUGUGAAAUGUUGAGCAUUAUUCCUGUCUUUUAACAAACACCAUAUUUCACAUAUUCCUCCAAAAUGUGGACAAGAAAAUCCACAAAGGUGCUUCAAGUAGGCUCCUGUUCCAUUGCAGUUUUUGUGAUCUGUCUCAAAAUAAUAAUCAGUUGUUUAAAAUAAUUAGUGGAAUUAUUCCUAAUGAUCAAAAUAUAUACUAAAAGAUCCAUUCCAACUGCAUGUUUAAAUGAUAAGCCUAGUAUAAAAGAAAAUCUGUUUGAAUUGACUAUCAAUCACAGCGUUAGUUUGGUCAUGACAAAAAGUCAUCCUAAGCAAACCUUGGCAAAUCUCAGUGCCAGAAUACAUCAGCUGAUGGCUGAGCUGAUACUCUUUAAUACACAAAAUUGGAAAAUUUCAUGUAGUCUGUCUACAUUUACUGAACAUCUGCAAGUGGUUUUGCAAACCACCCCAUCCCAGCUCUCUUCUCUGCAUAACAUAAUCAAUGCCAUAUCUGUUGUUAUUGAUGUACUGUUUUGUAUGGAUUGAAGGGGUUUGGGUGGGCAGUGGGGGGAAACCUUUUUUCUGUUACAGUGUAGACACACUAUUAAGCCUAAGCACUAUUAAGGCUUAAAUGAAGGAGGGUUUUUGUUGGUGUGCUCUGCUGGCAGGCGACCAGGGGCAGCAUAACAUAACCCUCCUAUUGGGCCUCCAGACAGACCUUUCUCCGAAAUGUCAUGAAAGGUGUGACAAAGGUGAAGAGUGAGUCAGGACAUUCUGCCUGUCUUAAUCACCACCAACAAACAAAUCACAAGAAAGUGUGAAAAGAAAAGAAAAAAAGGUAUCUUGUGUGUUUAAAAGCCAGUCAUACUUGCCUUUAAGCUGUCUGCUUUCUUACUGAGUCAUUUUUUAAGUUCAAUGGAUACAUAUUGCCAAGAACAAUUUAUUCAUGUGUCCCCUCAAAUGAUCUUAUUUAUGAAUGGAUAUUAGUCAAAUAUAUCAAACAGGACCACACAGGACAAAGGGGAUGAUUUCCCUAAAUCAGAUUUUUUAAAUCUCUCUUUUUCCAUUACAUAUAAUCAUGAGAUCAAAUGAUUAUUUGCUGUAGGGUUUUCAAUACUAAAAUUAUGGCAAGAGCUCACUGUAAAUAAUAAAUAUUAUAAAAUAAAGCAUUGUUUUUGUUUAUGUACAUUUUACAUGUUUUGUUAUAUCAUAUUAUAAUAAAAUUACUUACUUAUUCUCUA